GAUGAACGCUGGCGGCGUGCCUAAUACAUGCAAGUCGAGCGAACAGACGAGGGGUUUGUUCCUCUGACGUUAGCGGCGGAGGGGUGUGAAACAUAUGGAUAAUACCCAUAUAAACCUGGGACAACUCUGGGAAAGCGGACCUAUAACCGGAAAAUAUACUGAACCCCACUGUUCAAUAUUGAAAGACGAAUUUGCUGUCACUUAUACAUGUAUCCGCGCCGCUUUUGAUAGUUGGUAAGGUAACGGCUUACCAAGGCAACGAUGCGUAGCCGACCUGGGAGGGUGAUCGGCCACACUGGAACUGAGACGCGGUCCAGACUCCUACGGGAGGCAGCAGUAGGGAAUCUUCCGCAAUGGGCGAAAGCCUGCCGGAGCAACGCCGCGUGAGUGAUGAAGGUCUUCGGAUCGUAAAACUCUGUUAUUAGGGAAGAACAAAUGUGUAAGUAACUAUGCACGUCUUGACGGUACCUAAUCAGAAAGCCACGGCUAACUACGUG
RNAcentral lists this ribosomal RNA (497 nucleotides) under uncultured bacterium. Its description in RNAcentral is "partial 16S ribosomal RNA". It matches the Rfam family "Bacterial small subunit ribosomal RNA", at positions 28 to 507 of the family's 1533-position model. The record is from RNAcentral.